CUGGGAAUCCCCUUUGAUUUCUACAGUAAACAUAGAAAAGCUAUAAUAAUAAGAUUCACUUGAACAACUAGAAUUUCUUCCCAGAUCCUCUUACCAAGACGUCUGUGAGCUUCAGCCACAGUAAUAAUGGGGAAGAACCUGCAAAUUUCAUUGGCUGUUCUGUGGCUUCAGCUCAGCUGUAGGUUGGGGAGUUCCUGGACAUGAGAACAAGAAGAGAAAAGGGAGAGGUUUUCAAAAUUCUGAGGAGGGGGAGCAGGGACUCCAAGUGACUGAUCUGGAGUGUCUUCUGGCAAAUGUGUAAAGAACUGUGUAGAGAUACUGCAAUAAUGGUGAUAUUCUGUGUUUGAUGAUGUCUUUGAGAACAGGUGUAAGUGGCAAAAAUGAAGUGGAGCAAAGUCCUCAGUACUUGAGUGCCCAGGAAGGAGAAUUAAUCACCAUCAACUGCAGCUACUCCACAGGAAUGACCACCUUACACUGGUUGCAACAGAAUCCUGGAAGAGGCACAGUCUCCUUGUUUGUACUGAGCUUACAGAUGAAGAAGAACGGAAGAAUGAGUGCCACAAUAAACACAAAGGAAAGUCAAAGCUCCCUGCACAUCGAAGCGUCCCAGCCCAGAGACUCUGCCACCUACCUCUGUGCUGUGGGGCACAGUGCUCCCCAGGCACCUG
RNAcentral lists this long non-coding RNA (668 nucleotides) under Marmota monax (woodchuck). Lineage: Eukaryota; Metazoa; Chordata; Mammalia; Rodentia; Sciuridae. The record is from RNAcentral.